This 253-nucleotide ribosomal RNA is filed under the name uncultured bacterium. RNAcentral describes it as "partial 16S ribosomal RNA". It matches the Rfam family "Bacterial small subunit ribosomal RNA", at positions 524 to 776 of the family's 1533-position model. The record is from RNAcentral.
CACGAACCGUACGAACGUUAUUCGGAAUUACUGGGCUUAAAGGGUUUGUAGGCGGCCAUGUAAGUGGGGUGUGAAAUCCCUCGGCUCAACCGAGGAACAGCGCUCCAAACUGUAUGGCUUGAGGGAGACAGGGGUAAGCGGAACUGAUGGUGGAGCGGUGAAAUGCAUUGAUAUCAUCAGGAACACCGGUGGCGAAAGCGGCUUACUGGGUCUCUUCUGACGCUGAGAAACGAAAGCUAGGGUAGCGAACGGG